UUCUCUGGUUCUUUAUCUUAAAAGUAGGGUAAAAGUGAUGUAAACAUCAAUAAAUUGUCUUGUAGGUUAUAACUCAUUAUCAGCUACCUCAUAUGCAUGUUUAAUGUACCUGUUAUCAUCCUGAAUAUGUAUGUAAUAUUUGCAGCUGGAUGUUAAGCAUACAUCAAAACUUAACUAUAAUUACAAUAUAUUUUAAUCCAAAUCUUAUUUUCAAUGUUUGAAAGGAAGUUGAAUUCGAAAUUGUACAACAAAU
This 253-nucleotide long non-coding RNA is filed under the name Mytilus galloprovincialis (Mediterranean mussel). Lineage: Eukaryota; Metazoa; Mollusca; Bivalvia; Mytilida; Mytilidae. The record is from RNAcentral.